This 493-nucleotide ribosomal RNA is filed under the name uncultured bacterium. RNAcentral describes it as "partial 16S ribosomal RNA". It matches the Rfam family "Bacterial small subunit ribosomal RNA", at positions 30 to 523 of the family's 1533-position model. The record is from RNAcentral.
AUUGAACGCUGGCGGCAUGCCUUACACAUGCAAGUCGAACGGUAACAGGUUAAGCUGACGAGUGGCGAACGGGUGAGUAAUACAUCGGAACGUGCCCAGACGUGGGGGAUAGCUCGGCGAAAGCCGGAUUAAUACCGCAUAAGCUCUGAGGAGGAAAGCGGGGGACCGUAAGGCCUCGCGCGUUUGGAGCGGCCGAUGGCAGAUUAGGUAGUUGGUGGGGUAAAGGCUUACCAAGCCUACGAUCUGUAGCUGGUCUGAGAGGACGACCAGCCACACUGGGACUGAGACACGGCCCAGACUCCUACGGGAGGCAGCAGUGGGGAAUUUUGGACAAUGGGCGAAAGCCUGAUCCAGCAAUGCCGCGUGCAGGAUGAAGGCCUUCGGGUUGUAAACUGCUUUUGUACGGAACGAAAAGGCGCCUACUAAUACUGGGUGUUGAUGACGGUACCGUAAGAAUAAGCACCGGCUAACUACGUGCCAGCCGCCGCAGUAA